GCCUGUGUGACACACGCGACAACGCUGAGCUAGGCUAGACCAGAGCAAUGGAAAGUAGCCAGCUAGCUUGGUAGAUAACUGCAUUGAAUCUGAAAACAAGCUAAACUGUCCAAGUUUAAGGCACCACCUGGAUGUACAACUACGUUUUGCUGCAAGUUGACCCUAACCGGAAAGCCUAUUAGUGUUUCAAAACAAAUGUAGCCGCUAACAUCGUUAUCGGAUAAAGAUUUUGGCUAGCCCUUGCUAGCGCAGGCAGUCGUCAGUUUUGCUUAGUUAAACACCGAGAGCAAGUAAGAGAGAUACACUUGUGUGGAUUACGUAAACAUAUCAAACCAAGGUUUGUGUGAUUUUGCUAAAAUGCAUCACCAACAGCGAAUGGCUGCCUUAGGGACAGACAAAGAACUAAGCGACUUAUUGGAUUUCAGUGCGAUGCGAAACAGCGAUUUGAAAAUGUUCCCAACAUCAAUGAUGUUCUCUCCUCCUGUUAGUGGUAAACACGGACCAACCUCUCUAGGAAGUGGACAUUUUGCAGGCUCAAGUAUG
Molecule: long non-coding RNA, 543 nt
Organism: Salvelinus sp. IW2-2015
Lineage: Eukaryota; Metazoa; Chordata; Actinopteri; Salmoniformes; Salmonidae
Source: RefSeq, a predicted model, not a curated record